Molecule: ribosomal RNA, 371 nt
Filed under: uncultured organism
Description: bacterial SSU rRNA
Rfam family: Bacterial small subunit ribosomal RNA
Source: RNAcentral
CAGAGGGUGCAAGCGUUAAUCGGAUUUACUGGGCGUAAAGCGUGUGUAGGUGGUUGGGAAAGUCAAUUGUGAAAUCCCCGGGCUUAACUCGGGAACUGCUUUUGAUACUGUCUGACUAGAAUUCGGUAGAGGGAGGCGGAACUCCAGGUGUAGCGGUGAAAUGCGUAGAUAUCCGGAAGAACACCAAUGGCGAAGGCAACCUCCUGGGCCUGAAUUGACACUGAGACACGAGAGCGUGGGGAUCAAACAGGAUUAGAUACCCUGGUAGUCCACGCCGUAAACGAUGACAACUUGACGUCGGUUUGCUCUGCGAAUCGGUGUCGUAGCUAACGCGAUAAGUUGUCCGCCUGGGGAGUACGGCCGCAAGGUUG